AACGAACGCUGGCGGCAGGCUUAACACAUGCAAGUCGAGCGCCCCGCCAGGGGAGCAGCAGACGGGUGAGUAACGCGUGGGAACGUACCUUUUGGUUCGUAACAACUCCGUGACACUGGAGCUACUACCGGAUAAGCCCUCACGGGGAAAGAUUUAUCGCCGAAAGAUCGGCCCGCGUCUGAUUAGCUAGUUGGUGAGGUAACGGCUCACCAAGGCGACAAUCAGUAGCUGGUCUGAGAGGAUGAUCAGCCACACUGGGACUGAGACACGGCCCAGACUCCUACGGGAGGCAGAAGUGGGGAAUAUUGGAAAAAGGGCGCAAGGAUGAAGCAGCCAUGCCGGGUGAGUGAUGAAGGAAGUAGGGUAGUAAAGCGCUAUUGUCCGGGAAGAUAAUGACUGUACCGAAAGAAUAAGCCCCGGCUAACUUCGUG
This 431-nucleotide ribosomal RNA is filed under the name uncultured bacterium. Its description in RNAcentral is "partial 16S ribosomal RNA". It matches the Rfam family "Bacterial small subunit ribosomal RNA", at positions 29 to 507 of the family's 1533-position model. The record is from RNAcentral.